UACGUAGGUGGCAAGCGUUAUCCGGAAUUAUUGGGCGUAAAGCGCGCGUAGGCGGCGAGAUUAGUCUGAUGUGAAAGCCCCCGGCUCAACCGGGGAAGGUCAUUGGAAACUGUUUCGCUUGAGUGCAGAAGAGGAGAGUGGAAUUCCAUGUGUAGCGGUGAAAUGCGCAGAGAUAUGGAGGAACACCAGUGGCGAAGGCGGCUCUCUGGUCUGCAACUGACGCUGAUGUGCGAAAGCGUGGGGAUCAAACAGG
RNAcentral lists this ribosomal RNA (253 nucleotides) under uncultured bacterium. Its description in RNAcentral is "partial 16S ribosomal RNA". It matches the Rfam family "Bacterial small subunit ribosomal RNA", at positions 524 to 776 of the family's 1533-position model. The record is from RNAcentral.